RNAcentral lists this signal recognition particle RNA (299 nucleotides) under Saimiri boliviensis boliviensis (Bolivian squirrel monkey). RNAcentral's name for it is "Metazoan signal recognition particle RNA (ENSSBOG00000003511.1)". It matches the Rfam family "Metazoan signal recognition particle RNA". Rfam says of the family: The signal recognition particle (SRP) is a universally conserved ribonucleoprotein. It is involved in the co-translational targeting of proteins to membranes. Lineage: Eukaryota; Metazoa; Chordata; Mammalia; Primates; Cebidae. The record is from RNAcentral.
GCCGGGCGCAGUGGCACGUGCCUGUAGUCCCGGCUACCCGGGAGACUGAGGUGGGAGGAUCGCUUGAGCCCAGGAGUUCUGGGCUGUAGUACACUAUGCUGAUCGUGUGUCCACACUAAGUUUGGCAUCAAUAUGGUGAUCUCCUGGGAGUGGGGGACCACCAGGUUGCCUAAGGAGGGGUGAACUGGCCUAGGUCAGAAACGGAGCAGGUCAAAACUCCUGUGCUGAUCAGUAGUGGGAUCGCGCCUGUGAACAGCCACUGCACUCCAGCCUGGGCAACAUAGCGAGACCCCAUCUCU